AAUGCCCUUUGGCCUGCAACACACAUAUGGUUAAAGUUUUGCCACCUACUUUGUGGCAUCUCUAAUCCAGUGUUUUCU
Molecule: small nuclear RNA, 78 nt
Organism: Entelurus aequoreus (snake pipefish)
Lineage: Eukaryota; Metazoa; Chordata; Actinopteri; Syngnathiformes; Syngnathidae
Source: RefSeq, a predicted model, not a curated record